RNAcentral lists this long non-coding RNA (353 nucleotides) under Homo sapiens (human). RNAcentral's name for it is "non-protein coding PCBP1-AS1:167". The record is from RNAcentral. Lineage: Eukaryota; Metazoa; Chordata; Mammalia; Primates; Hominidae.
AUGUGCAGAACAUGCAGGUUUGUUACAUAGCUGUACGUGUGCCAUGGUGGUUUGCUGCACCUAUUGACCUAUCCUACCAAGUGUGUUGGGGACUUGAGAUGCGUACAUGAGUGUGAUGUUUCCUGCUGAAAGCACAGGUGAGACGUGGUCUUGUAACACAGUGGUUAAGAAUGUGACUUUGGAGCCAGCCUGCUAGGGGCUGAAUUCUGACUCAGCCAUUUACUAACUGUGUGACCUUAGGCUGGAGUGCAAUGGCAUGAUCUCGGCUCAUCACAACCUCUGCUUCCUGGGUUCAAGCGAUUCUCCUGCCUCAGCCUCCCGAGUACCUGGGACUACAGGCACUCGCCACCAUG